GCCUCAUGGCUAAAAGGCUGACACUGCAAGGUGGAGCGAGAAGUCAGCAGAGGCCGUAGUAGUCGCCAGCAAGGGACGAAGGGC
This 84-nucleotide non-coding RNA is filed under the name Nitrosomonas sp. Nm132. Lineage: Bacteria; Pseudomonadati; Pseudomonadota; Betaproteobacteria; Nitrosomonadales; Nitrosomonadaceae. The record is from RNAcentral.